This 253-nucleotide ribosomal RNA is filed under the name uncultured bacterium. RNAcentral's name for it is "partial 16S ribosomal RNA". It matches the Rfam family "Bacterial small subunit ribosomal RNA", at positions 524 to 776 of the family's 1533-position model. The record is from RNAcentral.
UACAGAGGUCUCAAGCGUUGUUCGGGUUCAUUGGGCGUAAAGGGUGCGUAGGCGGCGCGGUAAGUCGGGUGUGAAAUCUCGGAGCUUAACUCCGAAACUGCAUUCGAUACUGCCGUGCUUGAGGACUGGAGAGGAGACUGGAAUUUACGGUGUAGCGGUGAAAUGCGUAGAUAUCUGGAGGAACACCGGUGGCGAAGGCGACAUCCUGGACCGGUAUUGACGCUGAGGCGCGAAAGCCAGGGGAGCAAACGGG